AAAAAAACUUACAAGCAAAUAAACCCUGAGGCUAGAAUCCAGCAGCCAUAGGAGGAAGAAAGAACCCAGAGGAUUGCUUCCUAUGCUCUUGUGAUGGUGGAGAAGGAUUGCAGGAGACAGUGAAGAUACUGGUGGACCUCCUUGAAGGUCAUGUCUGACAUUGGAUGGAAUGUCUGAGAGGUGUUACUGGUGAGAGCAGAACCUGCUGAGCAAAGGAGAGAAUAUGAAAACCUGGCUUAAAGGUUAAAAGAUUACUUAAUUGUUUUUUGUUGGUUUUGUUUGUUUGUGUGUGUGUUUCAUUUUAUUUUAGCUUUAGUUUUCAUGUUAGAGUGUAUGCAAGAGUUAGAGCUACAGAGGUUUCUUCUUAUUUUGUGCCAUUCCAAGGCAGCUAGCUGAGGGCUCAGCAAUCCUCAUUUUUAAGAUCCUUGCUAUUUCCAGAGAAUUCUGAGAUGAGUGACGAAAAUCCCUAAAACCAGCUGCUCCUGGCCCACGCCUUUCGGUUUCCUGCAAGGAGAAGCUGAUUCAGACACAGAUGAGAUAGGGAACUGCUAGACAGCAUGGCAGAUAACAAUGGUGUCUUAAAUGUAGUGUGUAGUUGUUGACUUUACAUGUUAGAAUGAAGAAAGAGUUAAUCUUGGGUAAUGUUUGUUAUCUACAUCAGUGUCAUGAAACUAUAGGGGAGAAGUAGGUAAGGCAGAAUGAAGAGCUAUAAGGACAGAUUUUCCUGCUGUUAAGUAAAGGCCCACUUUUUUAAUAGCCAGCCGUGUCAAUGAUGCUAACAUAACUUAUCUGUGAUCUGGUAGUACGCCCAAAUUACAGCAUUGUUGACCCCAUUCCUUGGUAUCAACUUUGCUUGGAGAGGAGAUGAAGUGUCAAGACCUGCUUGUUGUCACAAACUACGAAAGAAGGAUUCAAGAAUGCUUUCAUGUGGAGCUUGUCAAAGUAAGUUUCAUGUGUUGCCCUCAAG
Molecule: long non-coding RNA, 967 nt
Organism: Tympanuchus pallidicinctus (lesser prairie-chicken)
Lineage: Eukaryota; Metazoa; Chordata; Aves; Galliformes; Phasianidae
Exons: 3
Source: RefSeq, a predicted model, not a curated record